AUGCGAAAUUAUAAUCUGUCACUUUUGUUUCCUGAACUUUGUCCUGCAGAAACAGACACAAGGCGACCAGCAGCCACGAUCGACAUCCAUCGAUCGAACUACAUGCAUGGCUCGUCGCCAUGCAGCCAACCGGUCGGCGCCACGCGCCUGUUGCUGGACUCACCUGCGUCUUCACCAAGUGGGCCGGACUCGGCCCAGCCGAGCGAACCGCCGUCGCCAGCUUCGUCUACGCUCGGGACGCCCGAGCGAGCUGUACCAGCGUCUGAUGCAUCUGCUGGCCGUGCACUUGUGCACACAGCCGAGACGCCUGCUGCACCAGGCUCCCCAGCUGGCGUCUCUCCGGCGCUGCAAGCCGCUCCUUCAUCACCACCGGUUUCUCGGGCACUGCCGGCGGCUCCUCCAGCAGAGCGUGCACGCACACGUCUCCAGAAUAACAUUGUGUGUCCGAAGAUUCCCAAGGACGGCACUGUUCGGUACAAUCCAUAUCAUCGCGGUUUCGGUGCUGUCGUCAUGUCUGCACCUUCCACCCAUAGGCAGGCCCUUGCUGAUCCUGCUUGGAAGACGGCCAUGCAGGAGGAAUUUUCUGCUCUACAGCGCACAGCGACGUGGUCUCUUGUCCCGCGUCCUUCCGGCACCAACAUCGUUAGCUGGAUAAUACGAUUGACCCAACUGUUACCGGUGCAAUGCUUUUGGGGUCGACCAAAACAUUUAAAAAUGUUAAAUGUGGUUAUGUGA
This 735-nucleotide ribosomal RNA is filed under the name Triticum aestivum (bread wheat). RNAcentral's name for it is "partial small subunit ribosomal RNA". Lineage: Eukaryota; Viridiplantae; Streptophyta; Magnoliopsida; Poales; Poaceae. The record is from RNAcentral.